GGUUAAGCGACUAAGCGUACACGGUGGAUGCCCUGGCAGUCAGAGGCGAUGAAGGACGUGCUAAUCUGCGAUAAGCGUCGGUAAGGUGAUAUGAACCGUUAUAACCGGCGAUUUCCGAAUGGGGAAACCCAAGUGUGAUUCGUCACACUAUCAUUAACUGAAUCCAUAGGUUAAUGAGGCGAACCGGGGGAACUGAAACAUCUAAGUACCCCGAGGAAAAGAAAUCAACCGAGAUUCCCCCAGUAGCGGCGAGCGAACGGGGAGCAGCCCAGAGUCUGAAUCAGUGUGUGUGUUAGUGGAAGCGUCUGGAAAGGCGCGCGAUACAGGGUGACAGCCCCGUACACAAAAAUGCACAUGCUGUGAGCUCGAUGAGUAGGGCGGGACACGUGGUAUCCUGUCUGAAUAUGGGGGGACCAUCCUCCAAGGCUAAAUACUCCUGACUGACCGAUAGUGAACCAGUACCGUGAGGGAAAGGCGAAAAGAACCCCGGCGAGGGGAGUGAAAAAGAACCUGAAACCGUGUACGUACAAGCAGUGGGAGCACGCUUAGGCGUGUGAC
This 558-nucleotide ribosomal RNA is filed under the name Escherichia coli. Its description in RNAcentral is "partial 23S ribosomal RNA". It matches the Rfam family "Bacterial large subunit ribosomal RNA", at positions 1 to 597 of the family's 2925-position model. Lineage: Bacteria; Pseudomonadati; Pseudomonadota; Gammaproteobacteria; Enterobacterales; Enterobacteriaceae. The record is from RNAcentral.